CUACGGGCCGCUGCAGUGGGGAAUAUUGGACAAUGGAGGAAACUCUGAUCCAGCCAUGCCGCGUGAGUGAAGAAGGCCCUAGGGUUGUAAAACUCUUUCAGUAAGGAAGAUAAUGACGGUACUUACAGAAGAAGCCCCGGCUAACUCCGUGCCAGCAGCCGCGGUAAUACGGAGGGGGCUAGCGUUGUUCGGAAUCACUGGGCGUAAAGCGCGCGUAGGCGGUUUGAAAAGUCAGAUGUGAAAGCCCAGGGCUCAACCCUGGAACUGCAUUUGAAACUAUCAGACUAGAAUUCGGUAGAGGAUAGUGGAAUUCCUAGUGUAACAGUGAAAUGUAUAGAUAUUAGGAGGAACACCAGUGGCGAAGGCGACUAUCUGGGCCGAUAUUGACGCUAAUGUGCGAAAGCGUGGGGAGCAAACAGGAUUAGAUACCCCCGUAGUC
RNAcentral lists this ribosomal RNA (439 nucleotides) under uncultured bacterium. Its description in RNAcentral is "partial 16S ribosomal RNA". It matches the Rfam family "Bacterial small subunit ribosomal RNA", at positions 339 to 795 of the family's 1533-position model. The record is from RNAcentral.